AGCAUGUCUUAAUUGAGUUCACAUUUGGGGAAGUCACGAUUGUAUCACAGCGUCGGGAGCGCUAGUGUCUAGCCCUUGUCUAGGAAAAGAAAGUCAGAAUGUGAAUGCCCGAAACCAAGGAGGAUCUCUUUGUGCUGGUGCUAGUGCGAUGAAACCUGCAGUAAUGUAAACCGAUACAUGUGACAAAUUUCCUUGCCAUGCUUCAAAAGCGUGUAUGAGGCUCUUUUGAGGGAAUAAAUUUAGCACACAGCUCAGAGACUUGCACUCCCUACAAAUCGAUGGGAGGAAGAGAAGAUGGAGAAUUGGCAUCCAGCAGGUUUCCUUUGAACGAUCAAGACAAAAAGUGGUCAGCAAACAAAAAUUAUCCUCUAGGUGAGGCUUCCCUGACAAGGUUGUCACGCCCACAUGCCACACCCUGGUGGGCAAGGAUGAUCCCAGAUAACUCGUUGGAGAGUGCACUCGGUGAACCUAGACUCUUUCAACUGAAGUACCGUAUCGAAUGUGGUGCAGGCUUGGCAGCCUACAUUGUUAUACUGGCUAUUUCGGGUUUUGCAGAGGGGUGCGGACUCCACUGCCUCCAGAUGACUCUGCUAUUUGUGAUGCUACCGACACAUUAUUGAAGGAUAGUAAUCCACAUCAUGCUUGCAUGGCAGGAUCCGCGGGUUGCCAUGGUGGUACCAGCUCAUCACUGGGCUCUGUGGGAUAUUUGCAAUUUUCUUCCUGUGUGUCACUUCCCACAUAGAUCCUGGGCUCAUACCGUGCAGUGCUACAAAAG
Molecule: long non-coding RNA, 775 nt
Filed under: Coccomyxa subellipsoidea
Lineage: Eukaryota; Viridiplantae; Chlorophyta; Trebouxiophyceae; Coccomyxaceae
Description: long non-coding RNA (CSUB_LNC000676)
Source: RNAcentral